This 78-nucleotide transfer RNA is filed under the name Candidatus Odinarchaeota archaeon. Its description in RNAcentral is "tRNA-Ile". It matches the Rfam family "tRNA". Rfam says of the family: Transfer RNA (tRNA) molecules are approximately 80 nucleotides in length. Their secondary structure includes four short double-helical elements and three loops (D, anti-codon, and T loops). Lineage: Archaea; Promethearchaeati; Candidatus Odinarchaeota. The record is from RNAcentral. RNAcentral also lists the same sequence under 2 other names.
GGGCCCGUGGCUUAGACUGGUUAUAGCGCCGCUCUGAUAAGGCGGAUAUCGCGCGUUCAAAUCGCGUCGGGCCCACCA